This 514-nucleotide ribosomal RNA is filed under the name uncultured bacterium. RNAcentral's name for it is "bacterial SSU rRNA". It matches the Rfam family "Bacterial small subunit ribosomal RNA", at positions 35 to 539 of the family's 1533-position model. The record is from RNAcentral.
AUUGAACGCUGGCGGCAUGCCUUACACGUGCAAGUCGAACGGUAACAGGUCUUCGGAUGCUGACGAGUGGCGAACGGGUGAGUAAUAUAUCGGAACGUGCCCAGUCGUGGGGGAUAACGCAGCGAAAGCUGUGCUAAUACCGCAUACGAUCUAUGGAUGAAAGCGGGGGAUCGCAAGACCUCGCGCGAUUGGAGCGGCCGAUAUCAGAUUAGGUAGUUGGUGGGGUAAAGGCCCACCAAGCCAACGAUCUGUAGCUGGUCUGAGAGGACGACCAGCCACACUGGAACUGAGACACGGUCCAGACUCCUACGGGAGGCAGCAGUGGGGAAUUUUGGACAAUGGGCGCAAGCCUGAUCCAGCAAUGCCGCGUGCAGGAUGAAGGCCUUCGGGUUGUAAACUGCUUUUGUACGGACGAAAAGGACUCUGGUUAAUACCUGGGGCGUACUAUAGGUACGGUAACGGUAAGUAAGUAACGACCGACCGGUACCUAACCGUACGUACGCCGACGACGACG